This 75-nucleotide antisense RNA is filed under the name uncultured Streptomyces sp. RNAcentral describes it as "ASpks TB sRNA". It matches the Rfam family "ASpks TB sRNA". Lineage: Bacteria; Bacillati; Actinomycetota; Actinomycetes; Kitasatosporales; Streptomycetaceae. The record is from RNAcentral.
CUUCAGCGACCCCAGCCACACCGGCCGCCCCUCGGGCCGGUCCUGACCGUACGUGGCCAGCAGCGCGUCGGCCUC